AACCUUUGACAAUAGGCAAAGAGACACCUUGUUGUUGAUGGUGUUCUUUUAUCAGUUAGAAGCAGAGCAUAUGGCUGUCCUUGGUCCAUCCUCACUUGAUACCUGGGCUUGGUGACCAAAGCUGUUUUAUGCCUAGGACACAUAA
Small nucleolar RNA from Apodemus sylvaticus (European woodmouse), 145 nucleotides. RefSeq annotates it as small nucleolar RNA SNORA48. The transcript has a single exon. The record is from RefSeq and is a predicted model, not a curated record. Lineage: Eukaryota; Metazoa; Chordata; Mammalia; Rodentia; Muridae.